Carassius auratus (goldfish) is the source of this 404-nucleotide long non-coding RNA. RefSeq lists it as uncharacterized. The transcript is spliced from 3 exons. The record is from RefSeq and is a predicted model, not a curated record. Lineage: Eukaryota; Metazoa; Chordata; Actinopteri; Cypriniformes; Cyprinidae.
UGUCACUGUUUUAACAGUUAUUGACAUUGAUAGUUUAUUGAGAAAAAUUAAAGCAACCAUCAGUAAGUUUGUGUUCAGUAGAUUUGGUGAUACCCAUAUAUUUUGUUCAUCCAUGCAGUCUCAUGCAUGAAAUAUUAUUGUUAAUUGACACUCCUGGGCAAAUAGAGGUGUUCACAUGGUCUGCAUCUGGAACCAUCAUAACUGAAGCACUGGCCUCUUCUUUUCCCUGUGUGGUUAUUUAUGUGAUGGACACAUCUCAAAGUGUAAAUCCAGUCACCUUUAUGUCCAACAUGCUCGAUACCUGCAGCAUUCUCUAGACUAAGCUACCUUUCAUAGUCGUCAUGAACAAGGUAAUAAUGAUAAUAAAACUGUCAUGCUAAUUUUAAUGGUGAAUGGCCAAAGCA